This is a non-coding RNA of Oryctolagus cuniculus (rabbit), 933 nucleotides long. NCBI's taxonomy places the organism in Eukaryota, Metazoa, Chordata, Mammalia, Lagomorpha, Leporidae. The record is from RefSeq and is a predicted model, not a curated record.
AGCUGUGCGAUGGCGGUGUCGGGUCAAAUGGCCAGCCCCGUCCAAGAACUCAGCCUCUCUUUUCCUUAUGUCAUAUGGGUGACGCAUUUUCUUGGUGAUGAGCCAGUAGGAAAUGUUGAUGCUCAGCCCCCAUAGGGAGCAUCUGUUACCUAUUGCAGCUUACAGCGGAAACGUGGAAACAAGCCGUAUCUGGGGGUCAGAGACCUAGGCCCAUCUUCCCUGGCUGUCUCUGGCCCCCAGGUCUCUCUCUGGUUUCAGUGAAGCUAGGGCUGCAGUGGUCCCAACACUGGGCUGGGACUGAGAAACCUACUUCGAAGUUCAUUCCAGUGGUGCUUCCAUUCCUGAGAGCUGUUGGACCCCUGGUCUCUCAGUUCCUGGCUAAUCUAUCAUCCUUAGCAGUGACUACCAAAUGGCCGGCACAAGGGACCCAAGAUAGAGGAUGUGUCCCAAAGGAAACGAGUCUCCGUAUAAAUCAGAUAAUCUCAGAUGGACAUCCCAACACACCCACUACAAGUGCCACUGGCCCUCUGAUUUCCAUCAAGAAUUGAAGCAGCAAGGAGACCCUCACCAGAGGCGGCAACCUGAUAUAUAGGACUCCCUGGCCUCCAUAGGAACUCAACAAAGAACAGAGGUUUGUUGAGUUCCCUGGUCUCAGGCACUGUGUUAUAGCAACAGGAAACAAACAGAGACGCUGAUGCAGUACCACCACUUGCAGCAACACCCCAGUAGUUGUCCACUUGUGCACACAUCCAACUGCUGAGAUCUUAGUCCAGGCCCCAUUGUAACAAGUUACCAUAUACUGGGUGGCUUAAACAACAAACAUUUACUUCUCACCACUCUGGAGGCUGAGAAAUUCAAGAUUAGGAUGCUGGCAGAUUCAGCAUCCACUGAAGAUCUACUUCCAGGUGUGCAGAUGGCUGUGUUCUUGAUGUA